This 65-nucleotide transfer RNA is filed under the name Nesophrosyne sp. 295 GMB-2012. Its description in RNAcentral is "tRNA-His". The record is from RNAcentral. Lineage: Eukaryota; Metazoa; Arthropoda; Insecta; Hemiptera; Cicadellidae.
AUUUAAGUAGUUUAUAUAAAAAUAUAGGGUUGUGGUUCCUAAGAAGUUUAUUUUAACCUUAGAUU